This 477-nucleotide ribosomal RNA is filed under the name uncultured bacterium. RNAcentral describes it as "bacterial SSU rRNA". It matches the Rfam family "Bacterial small subunit ribosomal RNA", at positions 29 to 537 of the family's 1533-position model. The record is from RNAcentral.
AACGAACGCUGGCGGCAUGCCUAACACAUGCAAGUCGAACGAGACCUUCGGGUCUAGUGGCGCACGGGUGCGUAACGCGUGGGAACCUGCCUUUAGGUUCGGAAUAACUCAGAGAAAUUUGAGCUAAUACCGGAUGAUGUCUUCGGACCAAAGAUUUAUCGCCUUUAGAUGGGCCCGCGUAAGAUUAGCUAGUUGGUGGGUAAAGGCCUACCAAGGCGACGAUCUUUAGCUGGUCUGAGAGGAUGAUCAGCCACACUGGGACUGAGACACGGCCCAGACUCCUACGGGAGGCAGCAGUGGGAAUAUUGGACAAUGGGCGCAAGCCUGAUCCAGCCAUGCCGCGUGCAGGAAGAAGCAUCUAUGGUGUGUAAACUGCUUUUGUACGGGAAGAAACACUCCUACGUGUAGGAGCUUGACGGUACCGUAAGAAUAAGGAUCGGCUAACUCCGUGCCAGCAGCCCGGUAAAGUGACUACUG